RNAcentral lists this ribosomal RNA (253 nucleotides) under uncultured bacterium. Its description in RNAcentral is "partial 16S ribosomal RNA". It matches the Rfam family "Bacterial small subunit ribosomal RNA", at positions 524 to 776 of the family's 1533-position model. The record is from RNAcentral.
UACGUAGGUGGCAAGCGUUGUCCGGAUUUACUGGGCGUAAAGGGCGUGCAGGCGGUCUGUUAAGUCUAGGGUGAAAGCUCCCGGCUCAACUGGGAGAGGUCCUUGGAUACUGGCGGACUUGAGGGAGGCAGAGGAAAGUGGAAUUCCCGGUGUAGUGGUGAUAUGCGUAGAUAUCGGGAGGAACACCAGUGGCGAAGGCGGCUUCCUGGCCUGUUCUUGACGCUGAGGCGCGAAAGCUAGGGGAGCAAACAGG